AUUGAACGCUGGCGGCAUGCCUUACACAUGCAAGUCGAACGGCAGCACGGGGGCAACCCUGGUGGCGAGUGGCGGACGGGUGAGUAAUGCAUCGGAACGUGCCCUGAAGUGGGGGAUAACGCAGCGAAAGCUACGCUAAUACCGCAUAUUCUGUGAGCAGGAAAGCAGGGGAUCGCAAGACCUUGCGCUUUGGGAGCGGCCGAUGUCGGAUUAGCUAGUUGGUGGGGUAAAGGCCUACCAAGGCGACGAUCCGUAGCGGGUCUGAGAGGAUGAUCCGCCACACUGGGACUGAGACACGGCCCAGACUCCUACGGGAGGCAGCAGUGGGGAAUUUUGGACAAUGGGCGAAAGCCUGAUCCAGCCAUGCCGCGUGAGUGAAGAAGGCCUUCGGGUUGGUUAAAGUACGUCUUUCGGUUGGGGUAAGGAAAUUAGGCAUAGGCUAAUACCCUGUGUAG
Molecule: ribosomal RNA, 455 nt
Filed under: uncultured bacterium
Lineage: Bacteria
Description: bacterial SSU rRNA
Rfam family: Bacterial small subunit ribosomal RNA
Source: RNAcentral